AUUGAACGCUGGCGGAAGGCUUAACACAUGCAAGUCGAGCGAGUGGCGGACGGGUGAGUAAUGUCUGGGAAACUGCCUGAUGGAGGGGGAUAACUACUGGAAACGGUAGCUAAUACCGCAUACCAUCAGAUGUGCCCAGAUGGGAUUAGCUAGGAGGUGGGGGAAUGGCUCACCUAGGCGACGAUCCCUAGCUGGUAUGAGAGGAGGAGCAGCCACACUGGACCGCAGACACGGUUCCGACUCCUACGGUAGGCAGCAGUGCGGAAGAUUGCACAAUGGGCGCAAGCCUGAAGCAGCCAGUCCCCGUGUAUGAAGACGGCCUUCGGGUUGUAAAGUACUUUCAGUGGGGAGGCAUUACCCGCAGAAGAAGCACCGGCUUACUCCGUGCCAGCAGCCGCGGUAAUAC
This 406-nucleotide ribosomal RNA is filed under the name uncultured bacterium. Its description in RNAcentral is "partial 16S ribosomal RNA". It matches the Rfam family "Bacterial small subunit ribosomal RNA", at positions 30 to 526 of the family's 1533-position model. The record is from RNAcentral.